GUGGGUGUAGCUCAGUUGUCGAGCACGUGAUUUGCAUGCAUGAGGUCUUGGGUUCAAUACCCAGUACCAACA
RNAcentral lists this transfer RNA (72 nucleotides) under Camelus bactrianus (Bactrian camel). It matches the Rfam family "tRNA". From Rfam's summary of the family: Transfer RNA (tRNA) molecules are approximately 80 nucleotides in length. Their secondary structure includes four short double-helical elements and three loops (D, anti-codon, and T loops). RNAcentral also lists the same sequence under 1 other name. The record is from Rfam by way of RNAcentral. Lineage: Eukaryota; Metazoa; Chordata; Mammalia; Artiodactyla; Camelidae.